GGGGCCAUGUGAGUCCAAACAGGAUGACAACAUGCGAAGAGAGAGCGCCCGUGCCCACAUUGGGGAGGAGGGGCAGAGGGAAAGAGAGAGAGAAUCCCAAGCAAGAUUCCCCGAUGAACGCGGAGCCGGAUGUGGAGUUCAGUCCCACGACCCUGAGAUCAUGCCCCAAGCUGAAAUCAAGAGCCAGAGGCUUAACCAACUGAGCCACCCGGAGGCCCACUGAUUUCAUUUAUUUAUUUAUUUGUCAAAGAGAAAGAGAGCACAGCAGGGGGAGCCAGAAAGAGGGAGAAGCAGGUUCUCCACUGAACAGAAAGACCAAUAUGCAGGACUCAAUCCCAGGACCCUGGGAUCAUGACCUGACACGAAGGCAGACGCUUAACCGAGCCACCCAGGCAUCCUGUAACUUUAUAAUUCUUGACACUUUGCCAGGUAAGUCUCUUUUUCUUCCUCUUCAGGAAUGUUUAAGUUUUCAAUAAAGGCACUUAAAAACUUAAGGAAAAAAGUUGUCACGUUCCAGAAAAUAAUUCUUA
RNAcentral lists this long non-coding RNA (530 nucleotides) under Mustela putorius furo (domestic ferret). RNAcentral's name for it is "lncRNA (ENSMPUG00000031261.1)". The record is from RNAcentral. Lineage: Eukaryota; Metazoa; Chordata; Mammalia; Carnivora; Mustelidae.